AGCGUAGGCGGCGUGGUAAGUCAGAUGUGAAAUCCCGGGGCUCAACCCCGGAACUGCAUCCGAUACUGCCGUGCUAGAGGAUUGGAGAGGUAGCUGGAAUUCACGGUGUAGCAGUGAAAUGCGUAGAUAUCGUGAGGAACAUUCGUGGCGAAAGCGAGCUACUGGACAACUCCUGACGCUGAGGCUCGAAGGCCAGGGUAGCGAAAG
RNAcentral lists this ribosomal RNA (207 nucleotides) under uncultured bacterium. Its description in RNAcentral is "partial 16S ribosomal RNA". It matches the Rfam family "Bacterial small subunit ribosomal RNA", at positions 568 to 774 of the family's 1533-position model. The record is from RNAcentral.